This 895-nucleotide ribosomal RNA is filed under the name Pestalotiopsis chamaeropis. RNAcentral describes it as "LSU rRNA". It matches the Rfam family "Eukaryotic large subunit ribosomal RNA", at positions 46 to 966 of the family's 3401-position model. The record is from RNAcentral. Lineage: Eukaryota; Fungi; Ascomycota; Sordariomycetes; Amphisphaeriales; Sporocadaceae.
AUAAGCGGAGGAAAAGAAACCAACAGGGAUUGCCUUAGUAACGGCGAGUGAAGCGGCAACAGCUCAAAUUUGAAAUCUGGCCCUCGGGUCCGAAUUGUAAUUUGUAGAGGAUGAUUUUGGUGCGGUAUCUUCCGAGUUCCUUGGAACAGGACGCCUUAGAGGGUGAGAGCCCCGUACGGUUGAAUGCCUAGCCUCUGUAAAUCUCCUUCGACGAGUCGAGUAGUUUGGGAAUGCUGCUCUAAAUGGGAGGUAAAUUUCUUCUAAAGCUAAAUAUUGGCCAGAGACCGAUAGCGCACAAGUAGAGUGAUCGAAAGAUGAAAAGCACUUUGAAAAGAGGGUUAAAUAGCACGUGAAAUUGUUGAAAGGGAAGGAUUUGUGACCAGACUUUUUCUGGGCGGAUCAUCCGGGGUUCUCUCCGGUGCACUUUGCCCAGUAAAGGCCAGCAUCGAUUUUCGGCGGCGGAUAAAAGCAGUGGGAAUGUGGCUCCCUACGGGGAGUGUUAUAGCCCAUUGUAUAAUACGCUGCUGGGGAUCGAGGUACGCGCUUCUGCAAGGAUGCUGGCGUAAUGGUUAUCAAUCACCCGUCUUGAAACACGGACCAAGGAGUCGAACAUUUAUGCGAGUGUUUGGGUGUUAAACCCUCACGCGUAAUGAAAGUGAACGGAGGUGAGAGCCCGUACGGGUGCAUCAUCGACCGAUCCUGAAGUUUUCGGAUGGAUUUGAGUAAGAGCAUAACUGUUCGGACCCGAAAGAUGGUGAACUAUGCGUGGAUAGGGUGAAGCCAGAGGAAACUCUGGUGGAGGCUCGCAGCGGUUCUGACGUGCAAAUCGAUCGUCAAAUCUGCGCAUGGGGGCGAAAGACUAAUCGAACCAUCUAGUAGCUGGUUACCGCCGAAG